UGCUGACCGCUGACCUGGAGCUGUCCCUCCCAGGUACUUUCCUGAGGCUCAGCCACGGGCUCUUAUUUUUAGCUGCGGCACCAACAAUGUGCUGGUUUUUACGGCAAAUGAGGAAAUGAUAGUUUGACUCCUGCUUCCUUGCCGUCACCACUACCUGGCCCUGCCCUUAAGCAGAACUGAGGGGGAUGUCCAGCUCUGUGUCCUGAUGGCCCAGCGGGACAAGGUCCUGUCAGGAUCCGGAAUUGUCCAGCUGUGUCCUAGCAUCCCUCCUCGCCCCUGCCACCUCCCAGCAAAGGCGUCCACCACAGGCACAGCACGGUCUGACCCAGCGAGAAGGAGAACAUGCCCAGGCUGGCCAGCCUCAGCACCACACACCUGCGGAGGAGUGUGUCAGGGUGGUACCUGCACCCGGCUGGGCCCCAUCCCCCUAGCCUGCAGCCCAGUAUCCUCCCAGCCGGCUCCAGUCACAGUACCUUCCCAAAGGACUGCCCGAGAACCGAGUUUCCAGACCGGUAAUGAGACAAGGGUUCUGCUUUGAAACCAGUUUAGGAAACCAUGUCUGGCUGUCCUUCCCCAAUGCAGCUUCUGAACCUUUUUCAAGGUCUUUUUCAUCCUGGUGCUGGGGCUGCAAUCCGGAGCCGCCCACCUGCUCUUUCCAACCCAGCACUGCUGCCCCACUCUCUCCCGCUGCCUGUCCCAGUCCUCGCUCUCUGACAGUGUCUCUAGGUAAAGGUGUGAGCGUGUGUGCUCACUGAAAGACAUGCCAGAGUCCUGUGCAGAGCUGAUGGCCGGAAACCAUUGCACAAACAUUAGCUGCAAGGGUGGACACUUCCGGUGCCCUUGUGAGCUGGGAAGCCUGGGAGCGGUGGUUCUGCUGAGGGAGGGUGGGAAGCAGGGGCUUAUUUUUAACCUUUCACCCUUUUAGUAAUAGGGAAAGAUUAAUAUGAUCUGAGGAGAAACUUUCAUCCUUUUAAGCAUCUUGAUUUUUUCCUUUUUUAAAAACCAUGUGUGCAUUUAUAAUAUAUUCAAAAAGUAAAGUUCCAA
Long non-coding RNA from Cavia porcellus (domestic guinea pig), 1044 nucleotides. RefSeq lists it as uncharacterized. The transcript is spliced from 3 exons. NCBI's taxonomy places the organism in Eukaryota, Metazoa, Chordata, Mammalia, Rodentia, Caviidae. The record is from RefSeq and is a predicted model, not a curated record.